AGGGCCUAACUGUCUCCUUUUUCUAAUCAGUGAAACUAAUCUCCCCGUGAAGAAGCGGGGAUAUCCAUAUAAGACGAGAAGACCCUAUGGAGCUUUAAACUUUACAGCACCUGCUUUCCUACUACCCCCUUUCAGAAAACUAUCUCUUAUUAGCACUCUGUCUGUUAAGCUUUCGGUUGGGGCGACCCCGGAGAACAAUUAAUCCUCCGAGAUGAAUAAAUUUAUUUAGUAAAAAGUUACAACUUUACACAACAGUAAAACUGACAUUCAUUGACCCAAAAUUUGAUCAACGAACCAAGUUACCCUAGGGAUAACAGCGCUAUCCACUUUGAAAGUUCCUAUCGACAAGUGGGCUUACGACCUCGAUGUUGGAUCAGGGUAUCCCAGUGGUGCAGCCGCUACUAAAGGUUCGUUUGUUCAACGAUUAAAACCC
RNAcentral lists this ribosomal RNA (433 nucleotides) under Oreobates antrum. RNAcentral describes it as "partial 16S ribosomal RNA". It matches the Rfam family "Bacterial large subunit ribosomal RNA", at positions 2007 to 2596 of the family's 2925-position model. The record is from RNAcentral. Lineage: Eukaryota; Metazoa; Chordata; Amphibia; Anura; Strabomantidae.